This 253-nucleotide ribosomal RNA is filed under the name uncultured bacterium. RNAcentral's name for it is "partial 16S ribosomal RNA". It matches the Rfam family "Bacterial small subunit ribosomal RNA", at positions 524 to 776 of the family's 1533-position model. The record is from RNAcentral.
UACGUAGGGUGCGAGCGUUGUCCGGAAUUAUUGGGCGUAAAGGGCUCGUAGGCGGUCUGUCACGUCGGGAGUGAAAACUCAGGGCUUAACCCCAGAACUGCUUCCGAUACGGGCAGACUAGAGGUAGGUAGGGGAGAAUGGAAUUCCUGGUGUAGCGGUGAAAUGCGUAGAUAUCGGGAGGAACAUCAGUGGCGAAGGCGGCCCUCUGGUCCAGUACUGACACUCAAGUGCGAAAGCGUGGGGAGCAAACAGG